This 459-nucleotide ribosomal RNA is filed under the name uncultured bacterium. RNAcentral describes it as "partial 16S ribosomal RNA". It matches the Rfam family "Bacterial small subunit ribosomal RNA", at positions 338 to 795 of the family's 1533-position model. The record is from RNAcentral.
CCUACGGGAGGCAGCAGUGAGGAAUAUUGGUCAAUGGGCGGGAGCCUGAACCAGCCAAGUCGCGUGAGGGAAGAAGGUACUGAGUAUUGUAAACCUCUUUUGCCAGGGGACAAAGGCGGCCACGGGUGGCCGUAAGAGGGUACCUGGAGAGAAAGCAUCGGCUAACUCCGUGCCAGCAGCCGCGGUAAUACGGAGGAGGCGAGCGUUAUCCGGAUUUAUUGGGUUAAAGGGGUGCGCAGGCGGCGUGUCAAGUCAGCGGGAAAAUGUCGGGGCCAAACCCCGGCCGGCCGUUGAAACUGGCGGGCUAGAGUUGUAGAGAGGUAUGCGGAAUUCGUGGUGUAGCGGUGAAAUGCAUAGAUAUCACGAAGAACACCGAUUGCGAAGGCAGCAUACUGGAUCCACACUGACGCUGAGGCACGAAAGCGUGGGUAUCGAACAGGAUUAGAUACCCGAGUAGUC